GAUGAACGCUGGCGGCGUGCCUAAUACAUGCAAGUCGAGCGAACAGAUGAGGAGCUUGCUCCUCUGACGUUAGCGGCGGACGGGUGAGUAACACGUGGAUAACCUACCUAUAAGACUGGGAUAACUUCGGGAAACCGGAUCUAAUACCGGAUAAUAUAUUGAACCGCAUGGUUCAAUAGUGAAAGACGGUUUUGCUGUCACUUAUAGAUGGAUCCGCGCCGCAUUAGCUAGUUGGUAAGGUAACGGCUUACCAAGGCAACGAUGCGUAGCCGACCUGAGAGGGUGAUCGGCCACCCUGGAACUGAGACACGGUCCAGACUCCUACGGGAGGAAGCAGUAGGGAAUCUUCCGCAAUGGGCGAAAGCCUGACGGAGCAACGCCGCGUGAGUGAUGAAGGUCUUCGGAUCGUAAAACUCUGUUAUUAGGGAAGAACAAAUGUGUAAGUAACUAUGCACGUCUUGACGGUACCUAAUCAGAAAGCCACGGCUAACUACGUG
RNAcentral lists this ribosomal RNA (497 nucleotides) under uncultured bacterium. RNAcentral describes it as "partial 16S ribosomal RNA". It matches the Rfam family "Bacterial small subunit ribosomal RNA", at positions 28 to 507 of the family's 1533-position model. The record is from RNAcentral.